RNAcentral lists this non-coding RNA (245 nucleotides) under Weissella paramesenteroides. RNAcentral's name for it is "T-box sequence". It matches the Rfam family "T-box leader". Rfam says of the family: Uncharged tRNA acts as the effector for transcription antitermination of genes in the T-box leader family. T-boxes are found upstream of many aminoacyl-tRNA synthetase genes and some amino acid biosynthetic genes usually in Gram-positive bacteria. The anticodon of a specific tRNA base pairs to a specifier sequence within the T-box motif, and the NCCA acceptor tail of the tRNA base pairs to a conserved bulge in the T-box antiterminator hairpin. Lineage: Bacteria; Bacillati; Bacillota; Bacilli; Lactobacillales; Lactobacillaceae. The record is from RNAcentral.
GUGAACAUGAUGAUUAGGUGAGUAGUUUGUGAUGGAUACGCAAAGCGAGUUGUAGUUGGUGUAAGGCAACCGAUUCAGCAAAUGAAUUUGGCCUAGGAGUGGUUGAAGUUAUGAGUAGUUUCGACUAUUAGUAAUUUCCGGUGAUGACCGAUAUCGCAUGUGAGUAUGUUUGGCAUACUUAAUAAGCAGACUGUGGUGAUACAGUCUGAAACACGGGUGGUAACACGAUUUUUAUCGUCCCGUCG